GCCCGGGUGGUGAAAUGGUAGACACGAGGGACUUAAAAUCCCUUGGCCCGCGAGGGCCGUGUGGGUUCAAGUCCCACCCCGGGCA
This 85-nucleotide transfer RNA is filed under the name Flavobacteriales bacterium. RNAcentral describes it as "tRNA-Leu". It matches the Rfam family "tRNA". Rfam says of the family: Transfer RNA (tRNA) molecules are approximately 80 nucleotides in length. Their secondary structure includes four short double-helical elements and three loops (D, anti-codon, and T loops). Lineage: Bacteria; Pseudomonadati; Bacteroidota; Flavobacteriia; Flavobacteriales. The record is from RNAcentral.